GAAUAGGGCGUUUAGUAUUUGGUCGUAGACCCGAAACCAGGUGAUCUACCCUUGGUCAGGUUGAAGUUCAGGUAACACUGAAUGGAGGACCGAACCGACUUACGUUGAAAAGUGAGCGGAUGAACUGAGGGUAGCGGAGAAAUUCCAAUCGAACCUGGAGAUAGCUGGUUCUCUCCGAAAUAGCUUUAGGGCUAGCCUCAAGUGAUGAUUAUUGGAGGUAGAGCACUGUUUGGACGAGGGGCCCCUCUCGGGUUACCGAAUUCAGACAAACUCCGAAUGCCAAUUAAUUUAACUUGGGAGUCAGAACAUGGGUGAUAAGGUCCGUGUUCGAAAGGGAAACAGCCCAGACCACCAGCUAAGGUCCCAAAAUAUAUGUUAAGUGGAAAAGGAUGUGGCGUUGCCCAGACAACUAGGAUGUUGGCUUAGAAGCAGCCAUCAUUUAAAGAGUGCGUAAUAGCUCACUAGUCGAGUGACACUGCGCCGAAAAUGUACCGGGGCUAAACAUAUUACCGAAGCUGUGGAUUGUCCUUUGGACAAUGGUAGGAGAGCGUUCUAAGGGCGUUGAAGCAUGAUCGUAAGGACAUGUGGAGCGCUUAGAAGUGAGAAUGCCGGUGUGAGUAGCGAAAGACGGGUGAGAAUCCCGUCCACCGAUUGACUAAGGUUUCCAGAGGAAGGCUCGUCCGCUCUGGGUUAGUCGGGUCCUAAGCUGAGGCCGACAGGCGUAGGCGAUGGAUAACAGGUUGAUAUUCCUGUACCACCUAUAAUCGUUUUAAUCGAUGGGGGGACGCAGUAGGAUAGGCGAAGCGUGCGAUUGGAUUGCACGUCUAAGCAGUAAGGCUGAGUAUUAGGCAAAUCCGGUACUCGUUAAGGCUGAGCUGUGAUGGGGAGAAGACAUUGUGUCUUCGAGUCGUUGAUUUCACACUGCCGAGAAAAGCCUCUAGAUAGAAAAUAGGUGCCCGUACCGCAAACCGACACAGGUAGUCAAGAUGAGAAUUCUAAGGUGAGCGAGCGAACUCUCGUUAAGGAACUCGGCAAAAUGACCCCGUAACUUCGGGAGAAGGGGUGCUCUUUAGGGUUAACGCCCAGAAGAGCCGCAGUGAAUAGGCCCAAGCGACUGUUUAUCAAAAACACAGGUCUCUGCUAAACCGUAAGGUGAUGUAUAGGGGCUGACGCCUGCCCGGUGCUGGAAGGUUAAGAGGAGUGGUUAGCUUCUGCGAAGCUACGAAUCGAAGCCCCAGUAAACGGCGGCCGUAACUAUAACGGUCCUAAGGUAGCGAAAUUCCUUGUCGGGUAAGUUCCGACCCGCACGAAAGGCGUAACGAUUUGGGCACUGUCUCAACGAGAGACUCGGUGAAAUCAUAGUACCUGUGAAGAUGCAGGUUACCCGCGACAGGACGGAAAGACCCCGUGGAGCUUUACUGUAGCCUGAUAUUGAAAUUCGGCACAGCUUGUACAGGAUAGGUAGGAGCCUUUGAAACGUGAGCGCUAGCUUACGUGGAGGCGCUGGUGGGAUACUACCCUAGCUGUGUUGGCUUUCUAACCCGCACCACUUAUCGUGGUGGGAGACAGUGUCAGGCGGGCAGUUUGACUGGGGCGGUCGCCUCCUAAAAGGUAACGGAGGCGCUCAAAGGUUCCCUCAGAAUGGUUGGAAAUCAUUCAUAGAGUGUAAAGGCAUAAGGGAGCUUGACUGCGAGACCUACAAGUCGAGCAGGGUCG
Molecule: ribosomal RNA, 1716 nt
Filed under: Staphylococcus aureus
Lineage: Bacteria; Bacillati; Bacillota; Bacilli; Caryophanales; Staphylococcaceae
Description: partial 23S ribosomal RNA
Rfam family: Bacterial large subunit ribosomal RNA
Source: RNAcentral